This 377-nucleotide unclassified non-coding RNA is filed under the name uncultured Actinomycetes bacterium. RNAcentral's name for it is "uncultured actinobacterium contains 16S-23S intergenic spacer region". Lineage: Bacteria; Bacillati; Actinomycetota; Actinomycetes. The record is from RNAcentral.
UCCGAGUUGACCCCGGCAGUCUCCUAUGAGUCCCCACCAUAACGCGCUGGCAACAUAGGACAAGGGUUGCGCUCGUUGCGGGACUUAACCCAACAUCUCACGACACGAGCUGACGACAGCCAUGCACCACCUGUAUACCGACCACAAGGGGGGCCACAUCUCUGCAGCUUUCCGGUAUAUGUCAAGCCCUGGUAAGGUUCUUCGCGUUGCGUCGAAUUGAGCCACAUGCUCCGCCGCUUGUGCGGGUCCCCGUCAAUUCCUUUGAGUUUUAGCCUUGCGGCCGUACUCCCCAGGCGGGUCACUUAAUGCGUUAGCUCCGGCACGGAGGGAGUCGACACCCCCCACACCUAGUGGCCAUCGUUUACGGCGUGGACUAC